GACAGAGGCCUCGAGCGUUAGGCGGAAUCACUGGGCUUAAAGCGUGUGUAGGCGGGCCCGUAAGUGUCUUGUGAAAUCCCACGGCUCAACCGUGGAACUGCUGGGCAUACUGCGGGUCUUGGGCCAACUAGGGGCAGCCGGAACAAGCGGUGGAGCGGUGAAAUGCGUAGAUAUCGAGAGGAACACCUGCGGCGAAGGCGGGUUGCUGGGCCGACACUGACGCUGAUGCGCGAAAGCCAGGGGAGCGAACGGG
This 253-nucleotide ribosomal RNA is filed under the name uncultured bacterium. RNAcentral's name for it is "partial 16S ribosomal RNA". It matches the Rfam family "Bacterial small subunit ribosomal RNA", at positions 524 to 776 of the family's 1533-position model. The record is from RNAcentral.